Molecule: small RNA, 671 nt
Filed under: Lactifluus rubiginosus
Lineage: Eukaryota; Fungi; Basidiomycota; Agaricomycetes; Russulales; Russulaceae
Description: eukaryotic LSU rRNA
Rfam family: 5.8S ribosomal RNA (bases 280-433)
Source: RNAcentral
UCUUGGUCAUUUAGAGGAAGUAAAAGUCGUAACAAGGUUUCCGUAGGUGAACCUGCGGAAGGAUCAUUAUCGUACAACGGGGGGCCCGAGGGCUGUCGCUGACUCCAAGGGGGUCGUGCACGCCCUCGGCGUCAUCCCAACAACCAAUCCAUCUCACCUUUGUGCAUCACUGCGCGGGUUUCGAUCAGGUCUAUUGACCUGAAAGGGGCUCACGCAUUACAAACAAACACCCUUNUGAUUCAGUGUAGAAUGUUCUUUGCCUUUGUAUGCAAUCAAUACAACUUUCAACAACGGAUCUCUUGGCUCUCGCAUCGAUGAAGAACGCAGCGAAAUGCGAUACGUAAUGUGAAUUGCAGAAUUCAGUGAAUCAUCGAAUCUUUGAACGCACCUUGCGCCCCUUGGCAUUCCGAGGGGCACACCCGUUUGAGUGUCGUGAAAUCCUCAACCUUUUUCUGUUUCUCUCUGAUUCGGAGAAAGGCUUGGAACUUGGAGGCUUUUGCUGGCCUCUCCCUCGAAACCAGCUCCUNUUAAAUGCAUUAUCAGGGUCUCCGGACCUGAUCCCUUGAGGGGAGUCUUUAUGCCUNUUAAAGGGGGGAGGCACACUUCAAAAAGGGGAGGCUCUCUCGUCUUAGAGAGNGGAUGAGCAUAUCUCUAAGCGCAGAGGCCUNUGG